UGAGGAAUAUUGGUCAAUGGGCGCAAGCCUGAACCAGCCAUCCCGCGUGCAGGAAGACGGCGCUAUGCGUUGUAAACUGCUUUUCCAGGGGGAGAAACUUGCGCACGUGUUGCGCAAUUGACGGUACCCUGGGAAUAAGCAUCGGCUAACUCCGUGCCAGCAGCCGCGGUAAUACGGAGGAUGCAAGCGUUAUCCGGAUUCAUUGGGUUUAAAGGGUGCGUAGGCGGACUAUUAAGUCAGUGGUGAAAUCCUGCAGCUUAACUGCAGAACUGCCAUUGAUACUGAUAGCCUUGAGUUUGGUUAAGGUAGGCGGAAUGUGUAAUGUAGCGGUGAAAUGCUUAGAUAUUACACAGAACACCAAUUGCGUAGGCAGCUUACUGAGCCGGCACUGACGCUGAGGCACGAAAGCGUGGGGAUCGAACAG
This 424-nucleotide ribosomal RNA is filed under the name uncultured bacterium. RNAcentral's name for it is "bacterial SSU rRNA". It matches the Rfam family "Bacterial small subunit ribosomal RNA", at positions 355 to 775 of the family's 1533-position model. The record is from RNAcentral.